This 404-nucleotide ribosomal RNA is filed under the name uncultured bacterium. Its description in RNAcentral is "bacterial SSU rRNA". It matches the Rfam family "Bacterial small subunit ribosomal RNA", at positions 355 to 776 of the family's 1533-position model. The record is from RNAcentral.
UGGGGAAUAUUGCACAAUGGGGAAAACCCUGAUGCAGCGACGCCGCGUGGAGGAUGAAGGUCUUCGGGUUGUAAACUCCUUUUAUUGGGAAAGAUUAUGACGGUACCCAAUGAAUAAGCCACGGCUAACUCUGUGCCAGCAGCCGCGGUAAGACAGAGGUGGCGAGCGUUGUUCGGAAUUACUGGGCUUAAAGGGCGAGUAGGCGGUGGGACAAGUCUGAUGUGGAAUCUUAGGGCUUAACCCUAAAACUGCAUUAGAAACUGUUUUACUUGAGUCAGUGAGGGGAGGGCGGAAUUCCCGGUGUAGCGGUGAAAUGCGUAGAUAUCGGGAGGAAGGCCGGUGGCGAAGGCGGCCCUCUGGCACUGUACUGACGCUGAGGCGCGAAAGCGUGGGGAGCAAACAGG